AACGACCGGCGACCCCAUCCAACA
This 24-nucleotide non-coding RNA is filed under the name Arabidopsis thaliana (thale cress). Lineage: Eukaryota; Viridiplantae; Streptophyta; Magnoliopsida; Brassicales; Brassicaceae. The record is from RNAcentral.